This 408-nucleotide ribosomal RNA is filed under the name uncultured bacterium. RNAcentral's name for it is "partial 16S ribosomal RNA". It matches the Rfam family "Bacterial small subunit ribosomal RNA", at positions 28 to 526 of the family's 1533-position model. The record is from RNAcentral.
GACGAACGCUGGCGGCGUGCUUAACACAUGCAAGUCGAACGCAGUGGCGAACGGGUGAGUAGCGCGUAAUCAACCUGCCCAUCAGAGGGGGACAACAGUUGGACACGACUGCUAAUACCGCAUACGGAAGGAGGGGAUGGCGUCUGAUUAGCUAGUUGGGGGGGGAACGGCCCACCAAGGCGAUGAUCAGUAGCCGGUCCUGGAGGAUGAACGGGCACAUUGGGACUGGGACACGGCCCCGACCCCUACGGGAGGCAGCAGGGGGGAAUCUUCCGGAAUGGACGAAAGUCUGACGGAGCAACGCCGCGUGAGUGAUGACGGCCUUCGGGUUGUAAAGCUCUGUUAAUCGGGACGCGGUACCGGAAUAGAAAGCCACGGCUAACUACGUGCCAGCAGCCGCGGUAAUAC